UAGGGAAUCUUCCGCAAUGGGCGAAAGCCUGACGGAGCAACGCCGCGUGAGUGAUGAAGGUCUUCGGAUCGUAAAACUCUGUUAUUAGGGAAGAACAAAUGUGUAAGUAACUAUGCACGUCUUGACGGUACCUAAUCAGAAAGCCACGGCUAACUACGUGCCAGCAGCCGCGGUAAUACGUAGGUGGCAAGCGUUAUCCGGAAUUAUUGGGCGUAAAGCGCGCGUAGGCGGUUUUUUAAGUCUGAUGUGAAAGCCCACGGCUCAACCGUGGAGGGUCAUUGGAAACUGGAAAACUUGAGUGCAGAGGAGGAAAGUGGAAUUCCAUGUGUAGCGGUGAAAUGCGCAGAGAUAUGGAGGAACACCAGUGGCGAAGGCGACUUUCUGGUCUGUAACUGACGCUGAUGUGCGAAAGCGUGGGGAUCAAACAGG
Molecule: ribosomal RNA, 429 nt
Filed under: Actinomycetes bacterium
Lineage: Bacteria; Bacillati; Actinomycetota; Actinomycetes
Description: Actinobacteria bacterium partial 16S ribosomal RNA
Rfam family: Bacterial small subunit ribosomal RNA
Source: RNAcentral